This 440-nucleotide ribosomal RNA is filed under the name uncultured Stenotrophomonas sp. Its description in RNAcentral is "bacterial SSU rRNA". It matches the Rfam family "Bacterial small subunit ribosomal RNA", at positions 358 to 790 of the family's 1533-position model. The record is from RNAcentral. Lineage: Bacteria; Pseudomonadati; Pseudomonadota; Gammaproteobacteria; Lysobacterales; Lysobacteraceae.
GGAAUAUUGGACAAUGGGCGCAAGCCUGAUCCAGCCAUACCGCGUGGGUGAAGAAGGCCUUCGGGUUGUAAAGCCCUUUUGUUGGGAAAGAAAAGCAGUCGAUUAAUACUCGGUUGUUCUGACGGUACCCAAAGAAUAAGCACCGGCUAACUUCGUGCCAGCAGCCGCGGUAAUACGAAGGGUGCAAGCGUUACUCGGAAUUACUGGGCGUAAAGCGUGCGUAGGUGGUUGUUUAAGUCUGUUGUGAAAGCCCUGGGCUCAACCUGGGAAUUGCAGUGGAUACUGGGCGACUAGAGUGUGGUAGAGGGUAGUGGAAUUCCCGGUGUAGCAGUGAAAUGCGUAGAGAUCGGGAGGAACAUCCAUGGCGAAGGCAGCUACCUGGACCAACACUGACACUGAGGCACGAAAGCGUGGGGAGCAAACAGGAUUAGAUACCCUUG